CCAUCUGUGGCGUAGAAGUUUGCGCGCCGGCCCGAAAACCCGGAGGUGCAGGUGCAAUACCUGCCGGAUGGA
This 72-nucleotide transfer RNA is filed under the name Kouleothrix aurantiaca. It matches the Rfam family "tRNA". Rfam says of the family: Transfer RNA (tRNA) molecules are approximately 80 nucleotides in length. Their secondary structure includes four short double-helical elements and three loops (D, anti-codon, and T loops). Lineage: Bacteria; Bacillati; Chloroflexota; Chloroflexia; Chloroflexales; Roseiflexaceae. The record is from Rfam by way of RNAcentral.